GGAGAGGUGCCUGAGUGGUUGAAAGGGGCACCCUGCUAAGGUGUUGGGCUUUAACGAGUCUCGAGGGUUCGAAUCCCUCCCUCUCCGCCA
This 90-nucleotide transfer RNA is filed under the name Candidatus Falkowbacteria bacterium CG10_big_fil_rev_8_21_14_0_10_38_22. RNAcentral's name for it is "tRNA-Ser". It matches the Rfam family "tRNA". From Rfam's summary of the family: Transfer RNA (tRNA) molecules are approximately 80 nucleotides in length. Their secondary structure includes four short double-helical elements and three loops (D, anti-codon, and T loops). The record is from RNAcentral. Lineage: Bacteria; Candidatus Falkowiibacteriota.